Molecule: long non-coding RNA, 1462 nt
Filed under: Aedes aegypti (yellow fever mosquito)
Lineage: Eukaryota; Metazoa; Arthropoda; Insecta; Diptera; Culicidae
Description: lncRNA AAEL022703
Source: RNAcentral
UUUAAUUUGUUUUGCUUAGAUAGUAUGCUUUGAAAGCCUAAUUAGUUGUUAAGCAAACGAUGAAAAACACAACAUUUAAAUUGCAUUGCUCCGUCAAACUCGGUUCGAGAAACCCCGCAAAGCCUUGCUAUGCCACCACAUUCAGCCGACGUACAUUGCAAUCAUUCAAUGACGAUCAUUAACCGGCCAGCAGAGUCAGUGAACACGAUCACGCUGGGAGAAACUGGGGAGAUAAUCGGUAUCAGUACACAUACUCGAACAGCCAUCACCUCAACCAGAGGCAGCUACCACACUAGGAGAUCAUACCGUGGACAAGUGAGAAGCGUCGCCACCACCACAUGAGAGCACGAGAGAAAGAAUGGAGCGAAAGAUCCGUCGGCAUCAUCAUGCUGGAGAAGUUAAGUUCAACACGGCACGCACACCAUUAAAGCUCGCCGGCAGAACAAGUGAACGAUCGCAAAGGAGUGGAGUUUAAUUGUCUUCCAUCUGUAAGCCAAACCGCGUGUGCCGUUCAGUCGGCGGUGAGAAUUUCCAUUUCGGAAUUGAACAAAGUGCGUUCGUUAGAAAACCCCUCGAAGACGGCCCACUGGAUUAGCUGAUCUUAUUCUCGACCGGUGAGCAGGUGUAACACCCGGAAACCAGCGCAAGAAAUCGAUUGGCCAGAGGGAAGAACAACAGGCCAAAAGAAGCUAAAUCCGCGUGUGCUUUCCAAGAAGGAGGGAUUCGUCGAAAAACCAGACCGUCUGGAUUGUCGGCCGCCAUUGCCGAAAAUCAUUCCCGAUUGGAAAUAGAUGACUGUCCACGCACGGACUCUGGAUUAAACACGCUAGGUGGAGACAAUCGUGUGAAGAGCAGGAGAAAGUCGAGAAUCAUCACCGGCCAAGCCGAAAGCCAACUCGAUCGCCAGAACCAUCCCGACAGAAGCGACUUAGACCGGAUCACGUCGCAGAGCAGAGAGCCCCUCUAGAAGGGGCUCUUUUCUUUCUUGCAGUUUUGCGCACUCAACGUGCCUAGAGGACGAGACAGGUCGCAGGGUCGCGGCGUCGUAAAUCGAACAUUCCGUUCGCAAUAUCACCCACCCCACACACGAAGAGCAGUCGCGCCAAGCAAGGCGCGCAGCAAAGAGGAUUUCCGUAGCGGAGUUGCCACGACAUUCAGGCGAGACGCGUAAUACGGAGGUUUGCUGUACCGGAGGAGUUUUGAUCGGGGGUGUGCCUAUCGAAAGGUGGUGGAUAUGUUGGCUAGGAAGGCGGCAGCUGUGCAGCAUCAACAGGACCGGUGCAAGGCUUCCCUGGAAGACUAUCCGGUGGCGUGAGAGCAUGCAGAAUCAGUGAGUCCUAGAGUUUAAGAGCAAUGCAUAUUAGCUUUUAAGAAUCCUAGUGCAGGAUAGCGUAGGAGGUCUCAGGACCGAGAAUAGGAGGCCAGGACAGGCAAAAUGUUGAAUAUACGCAUUUAAAAUGAA